RNAcentral lists this transfer RNA (57 nucleotides) under Biomphalaria glabrata. It matches the Rfam family "tRNA", at positions 8 to 63 of the family's 71-position model. Rfam says of the family: Transfer RNA (tRNA) molecules are approximately 80 nucleotides in length. Their secondary structure includes four short double-helical elements and three loops (D, anti-codon, and T loops). The record is from Rfam by way of RNAcentral. Lineage: Eukaryota; Metazoa; Mollusca; Gastropoda; Planorbidae.
UGGCUGAGCGGUAAAGCGCUUGGCUUCUGAACUGGGGGUCCUAGGUUCGAAUCCUGG